UGUGAGGACACAGAGGGAAAGCGGUCUCCAGGCCAGGAAGAGAGAGGCUUCACUGGCGACCAUUCUUGAUCUCCGUCUUCUAGCCUCCAGAACUACAACCAAGGAAAGACCGUAUGAGCACACAGUGAAAAAGUAGUUUUCAGCACGUCAGGAAGAGAUCCUUAACAGAGUCUAACCACGCAGGCACCUUAAUCUCAAACUUCCAGUCUCCAGAACUUGAGAAAUCUGGCUUCCCAUGAAGUUCAACAUAUAUAUUUAAUUGCUCAACUUGGAAUACACAGAAGCAGUUUGAAAGCAGUCAGGUGGAAGAGCUCAGAAGCUGCUGCUUGUCCAUUCUUUGCAGAGGCCAGCAAAUAAAGCCCAGCUAUGCUGCACUGCACUUGAUAUUCUCAACUCAGGGGAAAAAAGAAUAAGGCUCAGUGCUUAGCCCUUUAUGAAGAGAAAAUUAGCAGUGAAAGUGACAAAUUCCAUUUUGCCUUUAAAAACGAAACCAUAGAGCACAGUGUCAUUUUAGUUGGAAAAGCACAAAGUUAUAACUCCUAAGGGUUUUAUUACAGCAUGACUAACACAUAUUCUUUCACUCCAGGUGCCGACAUCUGUAGUCACGUGUUUAGCUCAGUGAGGCCUCCCUAGACACUGGAAAAUUACUCAUGCAAAUCCCAAGCUUACCUUUCAUGGGAAAAAUGGGGGACUGGGAGAAAAAAUAAAGGUGGACAGAUGUUAAGCAAA
Molecule: long non-coding RNA, 729 nt
Organism: Hyaena hyaena (striped hyena)
Lineage: Eukaryota; Metazoa; Chordata; Mammalia; Carnivora; Hyaenidae
Exons: 4
Source: RefSeq, a predicted model, not a curated record